GUGCAAGUGUGAGUUAUAUGUCCCACAUCGGAUAAAAUAGUAAAGGUUGAACACCUUAUAAGUAAGAUGAUCGAUAAACCCAUUGCCUUAAGGUUUUGGGGUAAGAGUGUGGUGUCUCUCUUGCUUGUGCGGUUGAUCUAGCCUCGAUGUGCGUGGUCCCCGUGGACUCACACUUGAGGGGAGUGUUGUUGUGUGCAAGUGUGAGUUAUAUGUCCCACAUCGGAUAAAAUAGUAAAGGUUGAACACCUUAUAAGUAAGAGGAUCCAUAAACCCAUUGCCUUA
This 282-nucleotide long non-coding RNA is filed under the name Medicago truncatula (barrel medic). RNAcentral describes it as "lncRNA gene27533". Lineage: Eukaryota; Viridiplantae; Streptophyta; Magnoliopsida; Fabales; Fabaceae. The record is from RNAcentral.